RNAcentral lists this long non-coding RNA (1171 nucleotides) under Homo sapiens (human). Its description in RNAcentral is "HSALNT0073393". The record is from RNAcentral. Lineage: Eukaryota; Metazoa; Chordata; Mammalia; Primates; Hominidae.
AAAUCACGUAGAAAAUGAGCAUUCUCGGCAAAGGAAACAGCAGAUGCGAAGGCCUUGAGUUAGGAAUAUAUCCAGUGUUUUCAAAGGUUGGCCAGGAGGCCAGUAUUAUAGUAGGAGUGUUAUAGUAGAAGGAAGAACAUUAGGAGGCAUAGUCAAAGAGAUGAGAGCCAACAUUUAAAGGUAUUCUUACUUUUAUUAUGACAUAGGAAUCUCACGGAAGGCUUUGAGCAGAAGAGUGAAAAAACAUGGCUGAUAUUCUGAAAUGAUCGCUCUUGUAAUGAUGUUGAUUUUGAGAAUAGACUCAAAAUGAGAAGAAUGGAAGCAAGAUGCCCAGUUUGGAGGCUACUAUGCUACUCACAUGAGAAAUGAUAGUGGUUGUGAAUAAGAAUACGCUGAUGAACAGAUAUUCUUAAUUUCAACACAGUCAAAAUCAUCACUAGUUUACUUCAGACAUUUACAUUUUGAUCUAACCUACCACCACCAUGACUGCCAUUGCUCAUUGACUCACCAAAAAUUGGAUGAGAAAAUGAAGGCAUAUGGAAAGUCAGCAAUUUCCUUGGAUGACCUUUGCUACUAAGUGUUGAUCCUGGGGUAUGGGCCCACUUGAUCUGACUGCGGCAUCUGGUAUUUUGUAUCCACAAAAUUCUAUUGCCUACCACAAUUAUUUUGUCUGAAUUUAAUACUGUAUUUAUCAGAAAAUUAUUCCAGAGUGAUCCAUCACAUUCACAGGUAAAUUUUAAGUUACCUUGUAUUUAUUAAAAAGAUGAUUAAAAAAUGAAGAUCUGUUGUAUGCCAGAGGAUUCAGUGAAUUUUCUUCUGAAGGUAGGUGUUCAAAAUGAUCAUCACUUAAAUCAAGGUCACUUAAGUUCUAAGGAUAAAAUAGGCAAAUGAGAAACAAAAUGCCUGUGUUGAUGAUGAGAAUGGCAUUCUGACUCCUGCCUUGCUGAUUUCAGUUCUGGAAGAAUGUUUUGAAUAUAUUCUUUCAAUGCUCACCAGGAUUUGCUACCAGUUCUUUUUUACAUGAAGACGUGCUAAGUUUUUCAUAUAACCUUCCUUGCUUUACUCAGAUCCCUUUAUAUGUUCUAUAGGCAGUGGGUAAGCAGGAUAAAAACUCCCACCCUGACUUUUCCAGAAAUUGGUAAGUGAUGAAGACUGUGGAUGAAGAAAUUCU